AGGCGUUUGCCCUUGUUCUUGCUGUCUUCUCCUUCGUUGCCGUGGCCGGUGGCCUUGUUAGGCAGUAGUGGUUGCUUGUCGUGAGUGGUAAGUAAUAAGCUUGGCUCGUCGUCGUCGGACUGAUGUGCUCAUUUUUGGCGCUGUGGUGAUUAGUAUCAAACGAUGUGAGAAACGUUGCCAUGUUUACUUCACAUUUGAUUGUUUGUUGUUUGCAUGUUUCCUCAUGUCGCCAGUGACAUGGUAAUGUUAGAGUCUAAACUUUUGGUUGAGCCAUUAUAAAGAUUCAGUGUGUUGUGAUCACUGGCUCUACAAAUCAUUCGAUGUU
RNAcentral lists this long non-coding RNA (325 nucleotides) under Musa acuminata (dwarf banana). Its description in RNAcentral is "long non-coding RNA (MACU_LNC005087)". Lineage: Eukaryota; Viridiplantae; Streptophyta; Magnoliopsida; Zingiberales; Musaceae. The record is from RNAcentral.